GACGAACGCUGGCGGCGUGCCUAAUACAUGCAAGUAGAACGCUGAAGAGAGGAGCUUGCUCUUCUUGGAUGAGUUGCGGACGGGUGAGUAACGCGUAGGUAACCUGCCUUGUAGCGGGGGAUAACUAUUGGAAACGAUAGCUAAUACCGCAUAACAAUGGAUGACCCAUGUCAUUUAUUUGAAAGGGGCAAAUGCUCCACUACAAGAUGGACCUGCGUUGUAUUAGCUAGUAGGUGAGGUAACGGCUCACCUAGGCGACGAUACAUAGCCGACCUGAGAGGGUGAUCGGCCACACUGGGACUGAGACACGGCCCAGACUCCUACGGGAGGCAGCAGUAGGGAAUCUUCGGCAAUGGGGGCAACCCUGACCGAGCAACGCCGCGUGAGUGAAGAAGGUUUUCGGAUCGUAAAGCUCUGUUGUAAGUCAAGAACGAGUGUGAGAGUGGAAAGUUCACACUGUGACGGUAGCUUACCAGAAAGGGACGGCUAACUACGUG
Molecule: ribosomal RNA, 497 nt
Filed under: uncultured bacterium
Lineage: Bacteria
Description: partial 16S ribosomal RNA
Rfam family: Bacterial small subunit ribosomal RNA
Source: RNAcentral